Vitis riparia (riverbank grape) is the source of this 545-nucleotide RNA transcript. RefSeq lists it as uncharacterized. The transcript is spliced from 3 exons. NCBI's taxonomy places the organism in Eukaryota, Viridiplantae, Streptophyta, Magnoliopsida, Vitales, Vitaceae. The record is from RefSeq and is a predicted model, not a curated record.
CUCAAAUGGGCCCUUUGGUCUGGUCUCCGUAAUGGGUUCGACCCAAAAUUUCCCGGGUCAAGUCGCAGAUGAAACCCUAAAACACAGAGGUUGAAUUCUGAAGAUCGAAAACACGAAUCUCGCAAAUUACACCUCGAUUUCGAAGGCUCCAAAAUGUUUGGACGCAGAAGAUUUCUAUCUUUCCCUUUGGUGAUCGGAGCAGUCGUGAUUGGAGUUGUUUCUGGGAAGGCAAUAUUUGGACCCCCACUUGAUGAAUACUGGAAAAAGAAGCUCCAGGAAGAGGCAGCAGCCAAGGAGACUGAUGCAAGCUCCAGCAAAACUAGCUAGUUGCCGCUCACACUCGACCAAUCAUGUUCCUACAGCAAGCUAAGCUCAUCGCACUGUCAUACAAUCACAAAUAGCAGGAGGAAAAAUGCCCUCUCCUUGCCUUCUUAAAUUCCGGCAUGAGCAAGGAGUGAAAAUGAAAGAAAAAAAGAAUACUUCAAUUUCGUUCUUUAAUCAUGAACGUGAUCUAAGAUAUGAAGUUUGUUUCCAGCUUUUUCUCA